RNAcentral lists this long non-coding RNA (1950 nucleotides) under Mytilus galloprovincialis (Mediterranean mussel). The record is from RNAcentral. Lineage: Eukaryota; Metazoa; Mollusca; Bivalvia; Mytilida; Mytilidae.
CGGUUUGUUUAAAUAUUUCGGAGGUUAGUAUGACCUCCUCUUUGGUGAUGAUGUUUUCGUUUUAAAGUUGGGAAAAUUGUUUGUACAUGUACCAACAAAAAUAAAAACACAAAGUCAAUCUAGAAUUAUGUUUUUAUCAUUUUUUUAUGUUUAGGUUGUCAGCAAGAUGAAAAGGACAAGUAUGCAGUUCAAAAUUCAAAAUGUGGAUAAGUUGAGGUUCUAGGUCUUACCUUUGCAGAUUUUCAUAUUUUGCAUGAAUGAAUUCAAAGGUUAUAUGAUGGACAGCAGAGAAAGAAAAAAAAAAAACUCUUCAAUUAUCCUGCUCCUGGAUAAAUGUAAAACAUCUUGUUUUUCGGUAAGUUUUAUGCUCUGUUUUUUGAUAGUGUUAGUGCAUUCAUCUUUCCAGUCUUUCCUCUAAAUUGUAAGUUUUUGGUGAGUGUUCACCAUGAAUUUCAGUAAGUAACUUGUGGAUUUACAUGUAUAUACUCAAAAUUUAGUACUAAUAUUAAUGGGAUUUUAGCAUGACAUCCUGCCAAAUGCUUGUUAAUCAUGUUUAUGUUCCAGAACAAACAAGUAUUUGGACUGUACGCAUACAGUCUGCCCAAUUUUAAGAAGUUGGUCAAGUUUAUUACAAACAAAUGUACAGUACAGAUCAACAUAACUGAAAUCUUUAAUAGAUUAAUACAAAAAGUUUAAUUGCAGUUAAAAUAAAAACACAGGUUUGGUCGAGCUGGUACCAGACAGUACAAGUAUACUUAAAUGGUCUGACUGUACACAUAUGGUGGGACUGAUAGUUCUGGACCGUAAAAGUAAGAUCCGAAUACUGAUAUGGUCUGGAACAUUUAUACAUGUCUUAAAAUUAAUAUCAAACACAUUGGUGUUUUUGAACUUGGUAAUAAGUUAUUUGACUAUAAUGUUUUGGGAUAUCAAAAUCAAAAAUAUCCCAUUUUUACUUUUAAUAAAGAAGAAGAUUAUUGAUGUAUGUUUAAAUGUAUAUUAAAAUGAGACAGCAAGCCAACAACACAAAAAAUAAGGAUAAAACAUACAUAUUUUUUUGUAUCAAUGUUAUAAUUUCCAAUAUGUUCAAGGUAUUUUUUCAUUGAAAUAAAACACAAAUUGAAAUCUGUCUGAACUUCAAAAGCUUAAAGAAAUAUUGUUUCUGUUGUCUGCAUUUUGUAUAAUAUAUUGCAAAUUCUUGUGAAUAAUGGAAUGUUAUUAUAGUAAAAGUUUUAACAUUGAUCUUUAUACUGUAAAUUCAUAAAUUAUUGCGUGCAUUUAUUAUUGCAUUCUGUCAUUUUAAUUUUUUUCGAUUUUGAAAAAAUAAUGCGAGUUUAAAUUAUUGCGUUUACAACUCCGUUGCAUUUUUCGCAAUAAAAAAAAACUCGCAUUAAUUCCGAAUUUACAGUAUAUAUAUAUAUUAUGUAUAUAACUUGGGAAAAUACCCAAAUGUUUAUAAAGAAGAAUAAAUUAAUUGAUUGUUAUAUGGUAUUAGAAUAGGAAGAUGUGGUAUAUUGCUAAUUUGACAACCCUCCAUCAGAGACCAAAGGAUGUAGGCCGUUAGCAACUGAUGACACUGGACAACCUUUAACAAUCAGUAAAAUCCAUACCGCAUAGCUAUUUUUAUUGAAAAUCAUAUUAUUGCUACAUGUAUGAAAACAAUUUUGUAUAAUCCAUUACUUUAGAUUUUAUUGGUUCUUUUUCAGAAGGAUUGAAAUUCACCACCUAGAAUAAAUGGAGAAAACAUAGAAACAAGACCAGAAUAAAUUCAAAGACAAAAGUUGGAUCAGUUAUUAUUUUCAUCACUCAGUCAAUGAUUUGAAGUUCUUUUAAAUUCAAAAAAAUAUUGAAACCACAAUAAUGUCAAAGUUCUGUGCUGAAUGUCCAAAAAGUGGACUAUACCAUCAAACAAUGCUGGAUGAUAAGAAACUAUUAAUGUUUUGUGUUGAGGGA